AAGGAAGAGAUACAGAUCUCAAACCCAGAAGCACAACUCAGAGCACCUAUGCCUCACUGGUAAAGCACUCUGUUAUCUAGUGCUACUUCCUGUCCUCGCCCCUGACCUUUCCAAAUAGCCAGGAAUGCUUUUCUUAUGAGAAAACACCAUGUCAUGAACAGAGUGUCUGCAGAGCUGUUGAAAAUGCUUCAUGAUUACAAUAUAGCAGAAGAAUGAUAUCCAACACCAACUUCUUGGGGUGUUUAUUGUUGAACAGUCAAUCCAAACCACACUGUACUUUUGAACUUCCCAUUCUAAUG
Molecule: long non-coding RNA, 299 nt
Filed under: Bos taurus (domestic cattle)
Lineage: Eukaryota; Metazoa; Chordata; Mammalia; Artiodactyla; Bovidae
Description: long non-coding RNA NONBTAT025688
Source: RNAcentral